ACGGGGACCCGCACAAGCGGUGGAGUAUGUGGUUUAAUUCGAUGCAACGCGAAGAACCUUACCUGGCCUUGACAUCCCGGGAAUUUCCUGGAAACAGGAGAGUGCUUUCAUUAGAGAGAACCUGGAGACAGGUGCUGCAUGGCUGUCGUCAGCUCGUGUCGUGAGAUGUUGGGUUAAGUCCCGCAACGAGCGCAACCCUUGCCUUUAGUUGCCAGCAGUUCGGCUGGGCACUCUAAAGGGACUGCCGGUGUCAAACCGGAGGAAGGUGGGGAUGACGUCAAGUCCUCAUGGCCUUUAUGGCCAGGGCUACACACGUACUACAAUGGCCGGUACAAAGGGCAGCGACAUUGCGAGAUGGAGCGAAUCCCGAAAAGCCGGUCUCAGUCCGGAUUGGAGUCUGCAACUCGACUCCAUGAAGUUGGAAUCGCUAGUAAUCGCGGAUCAGCAUGUCGCGGUGAAUACGUUCCCGGGUCUU
Molecule: ribosomal RNA, 475 nt
Filed under: uncultured Desulfobulbus sp.
Lineage: Bacteria; Pseudomonadati; Thermodesulfobacteriota; Desulfobulbia; Desulfobulbales; Desulfobulbaceae
Description: bacterial SSU rRNA
Rfam family: Bacterial small subunit ribosomal RNA
Source: RNAcentral